RNAcentral lists this ribosomal RNA (250 nucleotides) under uncultured bacterium. RNAcentral's name for it is "partial 16S ribosomal RNA". It matches the Rfam family "Bacterial small subunit ribosomal RNA", at positions 524 to 773 of the family's 1533-position model. The record is from RNAcentral.
UACGAAGGGUGCAAACGUUGCUCGGAAUCAUUGGGCGUAAAGCGCACGUAGGCGGCCCCGAAAGUCGGAUGUGAAAUCCCUCGGCUCAACCAAGGAAGUGCAUCCGAAACUGUGGGGCUUGAGUACCAAAGAGGAUCGCGGAAUUCCCGGUGUAGAGGUGAAAUUCGUAGAUAUCGGGAGGAACACCAGUGGCGAAGGCGGCGAUCUGGGUGGAUACUGACGCUGAGGUGCGAAAGCGUGGGGAGCAAAC